This 1314-nucleotide ribosomal RNA is filed under the name fungal sp. ARIZ AZ0501. RNAcentral describes it as "eukaryotic LSU rRNA". The stretch from base 623 to 1314 matches the Rfam family "Eukaryotic large subunit ribosomal RNA", at positions 1 to 622 of the family's 3401-position model. Lineage: Eukaryota; Fungi. The record is from RNAcentral.
GAUCAUUAACAAAGCUUGAAGUUCGCUCAUCUGCGUCUUCAACAAAUCCAUCCACACCUUGUGCAAUAUUGACAUCGAGGCAAGUUCUCUCGGGAACUUGCUGGUCUUGUGGGGGGAAAAACCUAAAGGAUAGGCAGCAAUGCUUCACCUUUAAGCCCCCCAAAAGUAUUUAACCUAUACGUUUUUUGUUUGUCUGAACCUUUUUAUUGAUACAAUAAAAACAACUUUCAACAACGGAUCUCUUGGUUCUCGCAUCGAUGAAGAACGCAGCGAAAUGCGAUACGUAAUGUGAAUUGCAGAAUUCAGUGAAUCAUCGAAUCUUUGAACGCACAUUGCACUCUUUGGUAACCCGAAGAGUAUGCCUGUUUCAGAUAUAAGUCACUAUGAACUCUGAGGGGGUGUUUGCCAACUCAGUUUUCAUGACUUGAACUUUCCGGACUCAUUUACGUGUCUGGUGGUUUAAAAUAAAAGCAUGGACGGUCUUCUUGACUCAUCCGCACGCAAAAGUGUAAUACGAGCUGUCAAAGGCUUCAUUCACUUCUUGCUAGGACGUCAGAUGUAUCGAUUUAAUCCAUGGUCGCAGGAAAUCUGGGGACUACGCAAGUAGAACCUAUCCAUAGCGGCAUCUGAAAUCAGGUAGGACUACCCGCUGAACUUAAGCAUAUCAAUAAGCGGAGGAAAAGAAACUAACAAGGAUUCCCCUAGUAACGGCGAGUGAAGCGGGAAAAGCUCAAAUUUGAAACCUGGCCUCUUCGAGGAAAAUGUCGCAGGGUUGUAGUUUAUAGAGGCGUUUUCGAUGGAAUCCUGGGUAUAAGUCUUUUGGAACAAGGCAUCAUAGAGGGUGAGAAUCCCGUCUUUGACUCAGAGUUUUCCAUUAUGUGAUACGUCUUCAUAGAGUCGAGUUGUUUGGGAAUGCAGCUCAAAAUGGGUGGUAAAUCUCAUCUAAAGCUAAAUAUUGGCGAGAGACCGAUAGCGAACAAGUACCGUGAGGGAAAGAUGAAAAGAACUUUGAAAAGAGAGUUAAACAGUACGUGAAAUUGUUGAAAGGGAAACGUUUGAAAUCAGUCAUUUCUUCUGGAAAUCAGCCUUGCUUUUGCAUGGUGUAUUUUCCAGUUGAAAGGUUAACGUCAAUUUUGGUUGUCGGAUAAAAGCCUUUGGAAUGUGGCUCUCUUCGGGGAGUGUUAUAGCCAGGGUCAAUACGAUGACUGGGAUUGAGGAUUCGCCGCCAAUGCUCUCUGGGCAGUGGCAUCAUGCGCUCAGGUUGACACUCUGCUAGACAGCUUGCUGACUAGUAGCUUGAAGAUUUGACUCGUG